RNAcentral lists this ribosomal RNA (484 nucleotides) under uncultured bacterium. RNAcentral describes it as "partial 16S ribosomal RNA". It matches the Rfam family "Bacterial small subunit ribosomal RNA", at positions 30 to 507 of the family's 1533-position model. The record is from RNAcentral.
UUGAACGCUGGCGGCAGGCUUAACACAUGCAAGUCGAGCGGAGAUGAGGUGCUUGCACCUUAUCUUAGCGGCGGACGGGUGAGUAAUGCUUAGGAAUCUGCCAUUUAGUGGGGGACAACAUUCCGAAAGGAAUGCUAAUACCGCAUACGUCCUACGGGAGAAAGCAGGGGAUCUUCGGACCUUGCGCUAAAUGAUGAGCCUAAGUCGGAUUAGCUAGUUGGUGGGGUAAAGGCCUACAAAGGCGACGAUCUGUAGCGGGUCUGAGAGGAUGAUCCGCCACACUGGGACGGAGACACGGCCCAGACUCCUACGGGAGGCAGCAGUGGGGAAUAUUGGACAAUGGGGGGAACCCUGAUCCAGCCAUGCCGCGUGUGUGAAGAAGGCCUUAUGGUUGUAAAGCACUUUAAGCGAGGAGGAGGCUACUGAGACUAAUACUCUUGGAUAGUGGACGUUACUCGCAGAAUAAGCACCGGCUAACUCUGUG